Macrobrachium nipponense is the source of this 552-nucleotide long non-coding RNA. RefSeq lists it as uncharacterized. The record is from RefSeq and is a predicted model, not a curated record. Lineage: Eukaryota; Metazoa; Arthropoda; Malacostraca; Decapoda; Palaemonidae. The transcript is spliced from 3 exons.
UACAUUUGGCUGUAGCUCCGAAAAUAGCCAUAGGAUUUUUUCAAAAAUAAUCUCAUUGUGAUUCCCACAAAAAGUUACCUUCUAUGGCUUAACGUAACCUAACCCAACCUAACCUAACCUAAACUAACUUUUAAAGUGAUACGCUCAAGAGUGAUUAUAUUUUCUCUGCAACAUGCUAUAAGUCAAAACUAUAGAAUAGUAGAAUGUUUUUUUGUAUGCUGGUGAAAUAGGAUGGCAUAACAUAUAGUAUUAUAUCACCUAGAUGCUUGAUUUGGACGAACUUCAUCCAAAUUCAGGAAUUGAGGCAAAAAACCUCACGACAACUAAAUUCAAGCUAUUGUGUGUGCAGCAGGCAUUUCUCCACCAAAAAAUACCUUCAUCCAGCUUCUGAUAAACUUUGCCAUAAUGCCUGCCCAGAUCAACAUGUAGAAGGUUCUACUAGCUGCACCAGAUCAGAUGUUGACCCUAUAAAGACAAAUACAUCAAUAGAUUUACACCACCAAGCAAAUUAUACAUCAAAUUGGUUGGUGACUUAUCCACACGAGAAUUUGC